GGUUAAGCGACUAAGCGUACACGGUGGAUGCCCUGGCAGUCAGAGGCGAUGAAGGACGUGCUAAUCUGCGAUAAGCGUCGGUGAGGUGAUAUGAACCGUUAUAACCGGCGAUUUCCGAAUGGGGAAACCCAGUGUGUUUCGACACACUAUCAUUAACUGAAUCCAUAGGUUAAUGAGGCGAACCGGGGGAACUGAAACAUCUAAGUACCCCGAGGAAAAGAAAUCAACCGAGAUUCCCCCAGUAGCGGCGAGCGAACGGGGAGGAGCCCAGAGCCUGAAUCAGUGUGUGUGUUAGUGGAAGCGUCUGGAAAGGCGUGCGAUACAGGGUGACAGCCCCGUACACAAAAAUGCACAUAUUGUGAGCUCGAUGAGUAGGGCGGGACACGUGGUAUCCUGUCUGAAUAUGGGGGGACCAUCCUCCAAGGCUAAAUACUCCUGACUGACCGAUAGUGAACCAGUACCGUGAGGGAAAGGCGAAAAGAACCCCGGCGAGGGGAGUGAAAAAGAACCUGAAACCGUGUACGUACAAGCAGUGGGAGCCUCUUAAUGGGGUGACUGCGUACCUUUUGUAUAAUGGGUCAGCGACUUAUAUUCUGUAGCAAGGUUAACCGAAUAGGGGAGCCGAAGGGAAACCGAGUCUUAACUGGGCGUUAAGUUGCAGGGUAUAGACCCGAAACCCGGUGAUCUAGCCAUGGGCAGGUUGAAGGUUGGGUAACACUAACUGGAGGACCGAACCGACUAAUGUUGAAAAAUUAGCGGAUGACUUGUGGCUGGGGGUGAAAGGCCAAUCAAACCGGGAGAUAGCUGGUUCUCCCCGAAAGCUAUUUAGGUAGCGCCUCGUGAAUUCAUCUCCGGGGGUAGAGCACUGUUUCGGCAAGGGGGUCAUCCCGACUUACCAACCCGAUGCAAACUGCGAAUACCGGAGAAUGUUAUCACGGGAGACACACGGCGGGUGCUAACGUCCGUCGUGAAGAGGGAAACAACCCAGACCGCCAGCUAAGGUCCCAAAGUCAUGGUUAAGUGGGAAACGAUGUGGGAAGGCCCAGACAGCCAGGAUGUUGGCUUAGAAGCAGCCAUCAUUUAAAGAAAGCGUAAUAGCUCACUGGUCGAGUCGGCCUGCGCGGAAGAUGUAACGGGGCUAAACCAUGCACCGAAGCUGCGGCAGCGACACUAUGUGUUGUUGGGUAGGGGAGCGUUCUGUAAGCCUGUGAAGGUGGCCUGUGAGGGUUGCUGGAGGUAUCAGAAGUGCGAAUGCUGACAUAAGUAACGAUAAAGCGGGUGAAAAGCCCGCUCGCCGGAAGACCAAGGGUUCCUGUCCAACGUUAAUCGGGGCAGGGUGAGUCGACCCCUAAGGCGAGGCCGAAAGGCGUAGUCGAUGGGAAACAGGUUAAUAUUCCUGUACUUGGUGUUACUGCGAAGGGGGGACGGAGAAGGCUAUGUUGGCCGGGCGACGGUUGUCCCGGUUUAAGCGUGUAGGCUGGUUUUCCAGGCAAAUCCGGAAAACCAAGGCUGAGGCGUGAUGACGAGGCACUACGGUGCUGAAGCGACAAAUGCCCUGCUUCCAGGAAAAGCCUCUAAGCAUCAGGUAACAUCAAAUCGUACCCAAAACCGACACAGGUGGUCAGGUAGAGAAUACCAAGGCGCUUGAGAGAACUCGGGUGAAGGAACUAGGCAAAAUGGUGCCGUAACUUCGGGAGAAGGCACGCUGAUAUGUAGGUGAAGCGACUUGCUCGUGGAGCUGAAAUCAGUCGAAGAUACCAGCUGGCUGCAACUGUUUAUUAAAAACACAGCACUGUGCAAACACGAAAGUGGACGUAUACGGUGUGACGCCUGCCCGGUGCCGGAAGGUUAAUUGAUGGGGUUAGCGGUAACGCGAAGCUCUUGAUCGAAGCCCCGGUAAACGGCGGCCGUAACUAUAACGGUCCUAAGGUAGCGAAAUUCCUUGUCGGGUAAGUUCCGACCUGCACGAAUGGCGUAAUGAUGGCCAGGCUGUCUCCACCCGAGACUCAGUGAAAUUGAACUCGCUGUGAAGAUGCAGUGUACCCGCGGCAAGACGGAAAGACCCCGUGAACCUUUACUAUAGCUUGACACUGAACAUUGAGCCUUGAUGUGUAGGAUAGGUGGGAGGCUUUGAAGUGUGGACGCCAGUCUGCAUGGAGCCGACCUUGAAAUACCACCCUUUAAUGUUUGAUGUUCUAACGUUGGCCCGUAAUCCGGGUUGCGGACAGUGUCUGGUGGGUAGUUUGACUGGGGCGGUCUCCUCCUAAAGAGUAACGGAGGAGCACGAAGGUUGGCUAAUCCUGGUCGGACAUCAGGAGGUUAGUGCAAUGGCAUAAGCCAGCUUGACUGCGAGCGUGACGGCGCGAGCAGGUGCGAAAGCAGGUCAUAGUGAUCCGGUGGUUCUGAAUGGAAGGGCCAUCGCUCAACGGAUAAAAGGUACUCCGGGGAUAACAGGCUGAUACCGCCCAAGAGUUCAUAUCGACGGCGGUGUUUGGCACCUCGAUGUCGGCUCAUCACAUCCUGGGGCUGAAGUAGGUCCCAAGGGUAUGGCUGUUCGCCAUUUAAAGUGGUACGCGAGCUGGGUUUAGAACGUCGUGAGACAGUUCGGUCCCUAUCUGCCGUGGGCGCUGGAGAACUGAGGGGGGCUGCUCCUAGUACGAGAGGACCGGAGUGGACGCAUCACUGGUGUUCGGGUUGUCAUGCCAAUGGCACUGCCCGGUAGCUAAAUGCGGAAGAGAUAAGUGCUGAAAGCAUCUAAGCACGAAACUUGCCCCGAGAUGAGUUCUCCCUGACUCCUUGAGAGUCCUGAAGGAACGUUGAAGACGACGACGUUGAUAGGCCGGGUGUGUAAGCGCAGCGAUGCGUUGAGCUAACCGGUACUAAUGAACCGUGAGGCUUAACCUU
Molecule: ribosomal RNA, 2904 nt
Filed under: Escherichia coli
Lineage: Bacteria; Pseudomonadati; Pseudomonadota; Gammaproteobacteria; Enterobacterales; Enterobacteriaceae
Also listed under: 2 other names
Description: 23S ribosomal RNA
Rfam family: Bacterial large subunit ribosomal RNA
Source: RNAcentral